AUUGAACGCUGGCGGCAGGCUUAACACAUGCAAGUCGAGCGGUAACAGAGAGAAGCUUGCUUCUCUGCUGACGAGCGGCGGACGGGUGAGUAAUGCCUAGGAAUCUGCCUAGUAGUGGGGGAUAACUUGCCGAAAGGUAAGCUAAUACCGCAUACGCCCUACGGGAGAAAGGAGGGGACCUUCGGGCCUUUCGCUAUUAGAUGAGCCUAGGUCGGAUUAGUUAGUUGGUGAGGUAAUGGCGCCCCAAGACCGCGAUCCGUAACUGGUCUGAGAGGAUGAUCAGUCAAACUGGAACGGAGACACUGUCCAGACUCCUACGGGAGGCAGCAGUGGGGAAUAUUGGACAAUUGGGGGAACCCUGACCCAGCCAUGCCGCGUGUGUGAAGAAGGUCUUAGGAUUGUAAAGCACUUAAAAUUGGGAGGAAGAGCAGUUAACUAAUAUUUGACUGUUUUGACGUUACCAACAGAAUAAGCACCGGCUAACUUCGUGCCAGCAGCGGCCGUAA
RNAcentral lists this ribosomal RNA (506 nucleotides) under uncultured bacterium. RNAcentral describes it as "partial 16S ribosomal RNA". It matches the Rfam family "Bacterial small subunit ribosomal RNA", at positions 30 to 523 of the family's 1533-position model. The record is from RNAcentral.